AUGUCCCCGACUUUCAAAGAGGUGCACCUCCCAAAUACUCCUAAGGAGAAGUUCAACAAGAUUCACUCCUCCAAACGCAAUUGCAUAGAGAGAACCUUUGGGGUGUGGAAGAUGAAAUGGAAAAUUCCCCUCAAGAUGCCAAACUACUCAUUUGAAACACAAAUGAAGAUUGUUGCAGCUACUAUGACAUUGCACAACUAUGUUCGUCUCCUUGACAAAGAUGAUAUCCACUUCAUUCGAUGUGAAAGGGAUCCGGAUUAUGUUCCAACAAUUCCGAAUGGAUAUAAGAAGUAUGUUAUUCCUCCGAGUGCAUCGGAUGCUUCAACUUCAGAGGCAAGUGCUCCUGACAUGGAUAGGUUUCGGAAUGAACUAGCCACGGCCAUUGCUCUUGGUUGGUGA
Molecule: ribosomal RNA, 399 nt
Filed under: Triticum aestivum (bread wheat)
Lineage: Eukaryota; Viridiplantae; Streptophyta; Magnoliopsida; Poales; Poaceae
Description: partial small subunit ribosomal RNA
Source: RNAcentral